UAGGGAAUCUUCCACAAUGGACGCAAGUCUGAUGGAGCAACGCCGCGUGAGUGAAGAAGGUUUUCGGACCGUAAAGCUCUGUUGUUGGUGAAGAAGGAUAGAGGUAGUAACUGGCCUUUAUUUGACGGUAAUCAACCAGAAAGUCACGGCUAACUACGUGCCAGCAGCCGCGGUAAUACGUAGGUGGCAAGCGUUGUCCGGAUUUAUUGGGCGUAAAGCGAGCGCAGGCGGAAGAAUAAGUCUGAUGUGAAAGCCCUCGGCUUAACCGAGGAAUUGCAUCGGAAACUGUUUUCUUGAGUGCAGAAGAGGAGAGUAGAACUCCAUGUGUAGCGGUGGAAUGCGUAGAUAUAUGGAAGAAUACCAGUGGCGAAGGCGGCUCUCUGGUCUGCAACUGACGCUGAGGCUCGAAAGCAUGGGUAGCGAACAGGAUUAGAUACCCUGGUAGUCCAUGCCGUAAACGAUGAGUGCUAAGUGUUGGGAGGCUUCCGCCUCUCAGUGCCGCAGCUAACGCAUUAAGCACUCCGCCUGGGGGAGUACGACCGCAAGGUUGAAAC
This 554-nucleotide ribosomal RNA is filed under the name uncultured bacterium. RNAcentral describes it as "partial 16S ribosomal RNA". It matches the Rfam family "Bacterial small subunit ribosomal RNA", at positions 355 to 900 of the family's 1533-position model. The record is from RNAcentral.